This 2261-nucleotide long non-coding RNA is filed under the name Penaeus japonicus. RNAcentral's name for it is "uncharacterized LOC122251318". Lineage: Eukaryota; Metazoa; Arthropoda; Malacostraca; Decapoda; Penaeidae. The record is from RNAcentral.
GGCAACUCAAGCGCCAAAUGUAAACAGAGCAGACGACAACAAGACGACAACACGGGGACAUGUGAACGGAAAAUGUUGCUGGGUUGCUGUGAAUUCUUUGUGCUUUUCUCACGUGAAGGUUACAAUGGAAGUGGCACCACUACUAAUGCAACACAAAAUGGAAGACUUUGUUGUGUGUUAAAAAGUUAAUUGUGAACAACAAGGCAGCUUCUUUUUCUUCACUGAAGUCCAAAGAAUCUUAGAGGUCAGCCAUUUUAUUAUCCUAAGAAAUCUGCAUUUGACAAAUGGGAUGUUGUAAGUAUAUAAGUAUGAUGUAGUAUAGAUAUAACAUUUCACACUACACUGUUUUAUGAUUCAUUUGUUUCAUCUGAACACAUAUAAAAAAAAAUUAAGAUUAAGCUUAGUUAGAUUUUUCUGUAUGUUUUAUAUUUCUUUCUAUUGUAUUUGCUGGCAUUUAAGAUGCACUUAUUUCCAGAAAAUAAGUAUAUAAAAAUUACCUUGUCUCCAAUAUUUUUGAAUCACCAAUUCAGAAGUGGAGACAAGUCCCCAUACAGGCCAUAUCACCGAUGGCUCCCACAGCGAUUUAGGGCAGAAAUUUUUACACAGAUCUUUUGGGAAGUAAUGUCACUUCUAGUUUACUCCUGAUUUCUUAUCUCUUUCUGACAAUGAUAUCACAAAUAUUUAAUCUUCAGAAUUGCUAAGUUUUCAUCCAGUGACCUUUAAAAGGGCUUAAAUUUUCUAGGGGGGCUCCACCAUACUUGCUUCAUUUGCAUGUUACCCCCUGCACCACCAAGCACAUGACGUAGCCUAUGGCCUAAGGGAUAAAAGAUAUAGUUAGUGGUUAGAAUUUCAGUGAGUAGUAGUUCACCAAACACAAAUAUUCAGUGUAUGUUACAGAUAGUAUUAGUUAUGUAAUACUGUAUAAUUUAUAUUAAGCAAAAUGAUAUAAAGCUUACAGGACAGUUAUUGAAGAAGCUUAUAAUAUUUCAUAUCAUGUCUUUUCCCUGGCAGACAAGGUCUACACAAGAUUUGCACAUUUUUUGUGAUGUAUCUGGAAAGGACAAGGAAAAAAAUAAAAACCAGUUUCCAUUUGCACUGAGGUGCCAAAGUCUGCAUCAUGAAAUAUCAAAGCAGUCAUGCAGCAGUUUCAAAGCAUACACCAUUUUCAUAACUAAAACUCGUCAGGUCAGAUAUUGAGUUUGCACUUUUACAAUUUAAAAUGCAAUCUAAAAAAAAAUAUCACUGAUCCAUUAUUUACUGCUACCUGACCAUGCAGAUGACUUUCUGGUAUUUGAUGACUGUGAUAUUUGUCCUCAAUGAGAUUCACUAAAUAAGAGAUUGCAAGAAACCGUAAAAUAAUUAGGUGCUAUUACAAAAUGUCUUGAGAUAAGUCUUAAUGUUAUUAACUUAUUGAUGUGAAUUCUCAUGUGAUGCAAAUGUAGAUUUCAUAUGAAUUAUAUUGCUCAAAGACUUUUCUCUAGAAAAUGAUGUAUAUAUAUAUUAGUAAAGUAUAUAAGAGUUCCUUGGAAUAUGAAAAAUUAUUGCAGGGGUUCCUCCACAGUGCAAAGGUUGGGAAACACUGCACUAGAUAAUCAAUUUAUAUAACCCCUUUUUCUGUUGCUUGAAAUAUAGUAAUAAUCAAUGAAGAAAUGUUUUUUACUCUUACAGAUGCAGAAGGAAGAAAUUAAACUUUAUUGAUUAAUUUCAGGGAUUCCUUCAAUUUCUUAAUUUUUUGUUUCUUGCCUUGUACCAAUUUUUGCAUACACAGGCAAAUAUGGCAACUUUUCUUAUUAUUUUAAUUAAGAAUUGAUAUUAGCUUUUAUAACAUGAAACAAGAAUAAGUGCUUCUCUUCAUGUUUUAUAAAAUGUGUUUUAUAUCAUUAUUGUAAAAUUGAGAAAUUAGUUUGCCCAAAAAUGAAAAAUAAUUAUGUUCUUAAUUAAAUCUUAUCAGUAUAUUUAUUCAUAAGUAGUAUAUAGUACAUAUGUAUGAAUUUUUAUAUAUUUUCUCAACUUUUAAUCCAUUUGUCGCGGUUUUAAUGGAAUAAUAUACAGUCAUGUGGCGGGUUUAUGUUGUAUGGCACGGUGCCGUCCACGUCUACAACCAACUCUAUCUUUGCAGCAAAUCAUGCCAUCUGCUGUCAAUGGGUUAAAUUAUAGUUUUAGUGUAGUAUUAUUCUAUUUCAUUCCAUCUUUUUCAUUAUGUUUAUAAGAUGAUUUGAAAUGAAAAGCAAAAAGAUUUUCAAUAAAAUCUACAUAUCUAA